RNAcentral lists this ribosomal RNA (777 nucleotides) under uncultured Neocallimastigales. RNAcentral's name for it is "partial large subunit ribosomal RNA". It matches the Rfam family "Eukaryotic large subunit ribosomal RNA", at positions 23 to 616 of the family's 3401-position model. Lineage: Eukaryota; Fungi; Neocallimastigomycota; Neocallimastigomycetes; Neocallimastigales. The record is from RNAcentral.
AGAGAGAGACAUGCGCGCAUAUCAAUAAGCGGAGGAAAAGAAACUAACUAAGGAUUCCCUUAGUAACGGCGAGUGAAGCGGGAAGAGCUCAAAUUUGAAGUCUUCAAGGUUCUACCUUGACGAAUUGUAGUUUAAAGAAGUGUUUUCUGUUGAAGUUUCGGUAAAAGUUCUUUGGAAUAGGACAUCAUAGAGGGUGAGAAUCCCGUAUUUGACCAUUUACUUUCAAGCUUUGUGAUACACUUUCAAAGAGUCGGAUUGUUUGGGAAUGCAGUCCAAAAUGUGUGGUAAAUUUCAUCUAAAGCUAAAUAUUGGCGAGAGACCGAUAGCGAACAAGUACCGUGAGGGAAAGAUGAAGAGAACUUUGAAAAGAGAGUUAAACAGUACGUGAGAUUGUCAAAAGGGAAGCGUUUGACACCAGUGUUGUUUUUCUGAAAAUCAAUUAAAGAACUGUUUAUGCUAAGUUGUUUAGACUUUAUCAGCUAACUGUUUAGUUUUGAGCUUUUCUUUAAUGCACUUUUCAGUUAACAAGUCAACAUCAAUUUCUUUUGCUGUAAAAAAGCUUGAGGAAGGUGGCUUGAGAUUCGUCUUAAGUGUUUAUAGCCUCUUGCCUAUGCAGUCGGAGAGAUUGAGGUCUGCAGCGUAGAUCCUUCGGGGCUAGAUGCAUUUGUGCUAAGUUAUAGCAUUUUAUAGACAACUUGUUGACUAUGAUUUGUCUUGUAGCUUACUCGCUUAUGUUAUUUUACCUACGCUUAGGAUGUUGAGCGCAUGUCUCUCUCU